AACGCACGAGACCUGCGGACCUGCGGAGGGAUCAUUACAGGAUUCGCAAGACUCCUACAACCCUGUGAACUUAACUAUAAGCACGUUGCUUCGGCGGGUGUCUCGGCGAGGGUUCUCCCUCCCCGGGGCGCUAAGCCCGCCGGCAGCCUACUAUACUCUGUCUCUUUGCGUUGGCAUCUCGAGUACAAACAAACAAGUUAAAACUUUCAGCAACGGAUCUCUAGAUCGGAAGAGCACACG
RNAcentral lists this unclassified non-coding RNA (240 nucleotides) under soil metagenome. Its description in RNAcentral is "partial contains 5.8S ribosomal RNA, internal transcribed spacer 2, and large subunit ribosomal RNA". The record is from RNAcentral.